AACGUAGGACGCAAGCGUUAUCCGGAGUUACUGGGCGUAAAGGGCGGGCAGGCGGUCGGUCAAGUCGGACGUGAAAGCUCCUGGCUUAACUGGGAGAGGCCGUUCGAAACUGGCCGACUGGAGGGCGGUAGAGGAGCGUGGAAUUCCGGGUGGAGUGGUGAAAUGCGUAGAGAUCCGGAGGAACACCAGAGGCGAAGGCGGCGCUCUGGGCCGCACCUGACGCUGAACCGCGAAAGCCAGGGGAGCGAACGGG
This 253-nucleotide unclassified non-coding RNA is filed under the name uncultured Anaerolineae bacterium. RNAcentral describes it as "contains 16S-23S intergenic spacer region". It matches the Rfam family "Bacterial small subunit ribosomal RNA", at positions 524 to 776 of the family's 1533-position model. Lineage: Bacteria; Bacillati; Chloroflexota; Anaerolineae. The record is from RNAcentral.